CUCGGUAUGCGCAUCGCCACCACCCUCGCUGCAGAGGCCGCCGCCCUCCCAGCGCGCCAUCACCGCCUCCUCUGCCUCUUCCCCUCCCUCAGCCCCGGCCCCUGCAUUGACUUGGCUCGGGCUGCGCCUCACUGCGCCUGCCAACUGUCACACGCUCUGAGGCUUUCAACAGCGGGGCGCCAGGGACAAACAAGCCGCGGCAAGCGCAAACAGCCUGCUCAAACAGGGACGGCCAGGGUGUUGUUUGACCAGCACUGGAAUUGGAAACUAGGUUUCGAAGAAGUCAAAUCGAAGUACAAUAUUGUAUUUUAAACUGCCUGUUGUUAUUACAUCCCUCACAACGCACGCUCUACUUGAAACUUCCAGUGGAUACCAACUGCACUUAGAAUAAAAAAUGAAACUCCUUGCCUAACUCUGGGACCUCAUCAGCACAUACUCACCAUAUUUUGGUAACAAAGGCCUUCAUGCUGUUCCCGGAAGUCGCCAAGUUCCAUCCAUCAUUGUUAAUAAUUCCUUUUGCUCGCUCCUCGCACAAGAACUGUUUCUUCUGCUUAGUGCUUUGCCUACUGAUUCCAUCUUGUCAUUUAAGUCUCGGCUCAAAUGUCACCUCUGCAAAGAACCCUUGUCUGACCAUACAUCUAAAAUAGCCACAAACACUCUAUAAAGACUUGGCCUUGCUUUAUUUCCUUCUCAGCACUCAUCACUGUCUGAAACAAUGUUUUGGAUUUGUUGCUUAUUAUCAGUCUCCCUUCUCAAGAAUGCAAGCUUUGUGAGGGCAGAGUCGUAAUCUUUUUUAAGGCUGUAUCCCCAAUGCCUGGAUUGCCCAACACUUGCUUCAUGCUUCAAGCACAUCAGGGUGCUUUCCACUUCUGGAUGAGCCAAGUGUUUCCUCAGCUUUUCUGCACCUUCCUCUCCAUUGACCUAGAGUGUCUAUGGAACACUCAGAGUGUCCCCUGUGUAAACCACCUACCACAAGAUUAUCAACUUCAGGCAAUGGACCACGCACCAGGAUUCCACCUCUUUCUAGCACCUAUCAGUGUUGCGCACAUCAUAGGCCCUCAACAAACAGUGUCCUUGUCUGGCUUCAAUAUCAGGGUAAUGCUGGCCUCAUAAAAACAGUUUGCAGCCACGCUGGGGGAUCCCACAUGGUAAAGAACUGCAGGUGGCCUCUAGGAGAUGAGGGCGGCCUCCAGUCAACAGCCAGCAAGAAACUGAAGUGCUCUGUCCUACAACCUUGUGUAACUGAAUUCUGCCAACAACCUGAGUGAGACUGAAAGUGGAUCCCUCUCCAGUCAUGCCUCAGUGUGAGAGAAACCUGUGACUUGCUUCUAACCCAUAGGAUAUGGCAAGGAACUAGUCAUAUCUGAGAGCAGCCUCCAGAAAACAGUCAGCAAAACACUGAGGUUCUCAAUCCGAUAGUCAAUGAGGAACGGAAUGCUGGAACAAUGAUGUGAGCUUGGAAGCAGAUCCUUCCCUUCUGCUGGGCCUCAGGUGAGACUGCAGCUCCAGUCAUCAUCUUGAUUGCAGCCCACAGAAACUACCAACCCACAG
This is a long non-coding RNA of Homo sapiens (human), 1551 nucleotides long. The record is from Ensembl. Lineage: Eukaryota; Metazoa; Chordata; Mammalia; Primates; Hominidae.